UCGCCACUCAUGAAUGCUUGUUUAAUAGUUGAAACUUUGAUGUAUUAGGGUUUGUUCAACCGAAAUAUUGUAUCAGAUCUCAAUUUUGUUGUUCAUAUAAGAAUUUGUGGUUUUGCUUUUUGAAUUUUUGUUUUGCAAGUCAUUGGCUUAUUUAUUAUCCAUGGUAAAUUUGUUGAAAAUUUAAUAGUAUUUAAUUAACUGUUAAUUUUAUUUUACUUGUUUAAUUGAUUGAUCUUGCUUGAUGGACUUGACUACAUACCAUAGUUGUAGUAGACAUCAGUCUUUCUCAAAUGCUUAUGUUAAUCUCGCUCCAUUCCGCAUCAAUUAUAGUUAAAUUUUGUGGCAUAACAUGAUUCAAAUUGAAUUUGCCUUUUGUUUCCUUUACUUUCAAGAAUUUUAUUCUUGAUUUUUGUUUUUGAUUUCCUCAAUGGUUGUGCUUUGAAACCUAUAUAUGCCAUUGAGAGGAGUUUUUUUUCCUGCUUUAAAUUUUUUUUUUUUUUUGAUACUUUCAAUCAUUCUUUAAUGUUGUCCUAUCAAGUUAUGUGUGGUUUGUUGCUCUGCUCUGAGAAGUUAAAACUGUUUUCUGAUCAAGGAGUUAUUUCCCUAAAAAUGUUUCAAUCAGAAUAUUUUUCAUGCUUUUAAAUGAAUAAGAUUGUAUUUUUUUUUUUGUUAGAUGGUGAAAUAAGAUUGUAUUGAAGUCUGCUUUUUCAAUCAAAUAAGAGUAGUGUUGGGAAAUGAAUAAAUGAAAAUACAAAUCAAAAUAGCUCAGGGACGAAAAUUAUAUAUCUCCAGGAUGGGAUCAGCAGUAUCUAUUAAUUUAUCGUACUGUGAAACUAAUUGGAUGUCUUAAAAUUUUGUUUUUUUGGUUUCUUUGUUUUCAUCCCAUCUUUUUCGUUGUUGGGCUUGUACUCUUUUGCAGUUGAGUUAUCUAUUUGCUACAAGGGAAACAACUAGGCUGAAAAGAAUCUUAGUCUAAAGGAACAUAGAAAUUGCAUGAUGAACUGAUAGAGGAUAAGAUCGUAGUUAGCUUUUUCUGUAUCCAGUUAUCAUGGAUGUUCUUAGAACUGGUACUUCACAGUGUCAAUGCAGAUUUGUACAAGGUGCUUGUGAAGGAGCUUGCUCAGACUCUGGAGAGACAGUUCGCCGGAAAUGCAGAAUCUCGAGCUGCAGGCAUGGUAAUAAAUACCAUGGGAUGGAUAGAGGGUGUUGGUUAUGAGUUGCUUCUUCAUGCAUUGGGUCAGGAGAAACUUUGCAGCAUGCUGAAAGAUGUAUUGAAAAGCAAGCCAAAUGUUGAUGUUGUGAAACUUCAAAAAUCAGAUGGUGUUGUAUCGAGGAAUGCAAAAGUUCGUCAAAAGGCCAGGAGCUACAGAAUAAGGUUUCAGUGAUUUGUGAGUCUAUAGAAUUGGUGGUGGACCACAGGCCCCGCGUUCAGCCCUGCCAAUUGGCGCAGAGCCUGCUGGCCAACCCUACACGAUUGGUUCUUGUGAAUAUCAACCGGGAUUUGCUCCAUUUGGUUCUUGCUAUUUCAUUUGCCAAAGAACCAGACGAAAUUAUUUCAAGUAAUGUCGCGGGGUUCAUCUGUAUCACAGACAUAGAUAUUCAGAGGAAGAAAAUUACAUACCUUGCACCAUCGGCUGGGGAACUCCCGAGCAGAUUCUUGAUCAUGGGAACUUUUACAUGGCUUGAAACCUAAAUUGCCCAACUAACUGCAUUUCUCAUUUUCCUCAAAUCGUUUAGUGUUAAUCUUAUCGCUGAUUUGUGUAUGUGUAAUGCUUGUACUGACACUGCAAGGGAUUUUAAGAGGUGAAACCCAUUUAUUCUGCUGAGAGGAUUAUUUUGCAUAUGAUUCACUGUAAUGUGUACAUUCACAGAUAGCUAGCUGAUAACAUGGUUGAUGCUUGCAAUUUUUUAUUUAUUUAUUUUUUGUACA
Non-coding RNA from Camellia sinensis, 1930 nucleotides. NCBI's taxonomy places the organism in Eukaryota, Viridiplantae, Streptophyta, Magnoliopsida, Ericales, Theaceae. The record is from RefSeq and is a predicted model, not a curated record.